CACGGUCAAAAUGUGAAGUCUCCUCUAGUCUCCAUAGAGAAAAUCUCCAAGGUCCCUGAUCAAGCUGGCUAACAGACAGAUAGAUCCUGGACCACCAAAGGGAGAUACAACUACUUCUUAUCCCAUUGCAUUGCUGACAACAAUAACUGAGACAAUGUACACAUGGAAGGCACUUGAUCCCCAGCCUGGUACAAAGCCAGCCAACUCUCCCAAUUCCCCUUUGUGAAGGGAGAAUGACUUGAGAAAAUAUUAACCUCUGCGCCAAAGAUUAAUCCUUGAACAGGAGUCAUAGGAGAUUAAAGACCUUUUCAGCA
Molecule: long non-coding RNA, 314 nt
Organism: Mastomys coucha (southern multimammate mouse)
Lineage: Eukaryota; Metazoa; Chordata; Mammalia; Rodentia; Muridae
Exons: 3
Source: RefSeq, a predicted model, not a curated record